This 122-nucleotide ribosomal RNA is filed under the name Pachypsylla venusta (hackberry petiole gall psyllid). Lineage: Eukaryota; Metazoa; Arthropoda; Insecta; Hemiptera; Aphalaridae. The record is from RNAcentral.
GCCAACGAUCAUACCACGUUGAAUACACCAGUUCCCAUCAGAUCACUGAUGUUAAGCAACGUCGGGCGUGGUCAGUACUUGGAUGGGUGACCGCUUGGGAACACCACGUAUCGUUGGCUCUU